AAAAAAAACGUAUUUUACUGUCUGUGGCUAAUCAUUUCAAAUGAUAAGGUUGCCCUACAAAUAAAGCUAAUCCGUCAGUUUAAUAGGAUGAAUAUGGGUGAGCUGUCAAUUUUCCUUCAUGAUUUAUUUUCAGACAUCAUGAGAAUAACGUUAUAGGCUGCUUGGUACUUUAACGUGACAUGUUAGAAUAUCUAUGGCAAGUCGCUGCUUACUCUUGAUGAUUUUAAUUUUUUCAUUUGCAACCCGCUGUAAAAGUAUGAAAAAUGACACCCUAUAUACGUCACGUUCGUGGUCUGUUCUCUCGAAUUUAAUUUACGAUAUUCCAUUAGGCUAAUAAUUCACUGGAAUGCACGAAAAAUCUCCUCAAAUCCUCAUGUUCCUUUCCAGAAUUACCUGAAAUGAAAAGUUACCUCACCAUUAUUGCUCAAAAGACUCCUGCUGAAAAUACAACCAAGUCUCCUGGUCUUCGCUUGUGAAUUUCCUACAGUUUUGGUGCCGUGACCCGGAAAGAGCUCCUCACCUGAAGAUUGAAACUUCAAGCUCAAAGAUCUGACUGUGCUCCAGACUGAAUCUUUUUGUACAACCAAGGGUUGGUGAGUGCCACUCUAUGCAAAAGGACCUUUAAGACCAGUACAAGUUUGUUAUCCUCUGCACCGUCAGAGAAGAGUUAACAGACAGCUGUAGGGUUUGGUAACUAAGGUUAAAUUAGUUAUCCUGUAAUAUCCUCAAAUACGAUUGACAAUUAGCAUACAGUUUAGAUUGGCGGUAUGGUUCUGUUGUGGGCAAGAUCUCCCAUGCAGCCUAGCAUGGAUAAGAGCAGGGAGAGCUGCAAUUGCAAUGCAGCUGCAAUGCUUUUGCAGUUAGCGGAGUAAGCGAAGGCAACAAGUAUGUUGCCAAUAUCUGGAAAACUUGAGCAUGUUACCAACAAUACCGGAAAGCCUUAAGCAACUAGUAUGUUGCCCUUACCUGGAUGACCUAAACAAGCAUGUUGCCAAUUCCCGAAUCAGCCAUAGCAACAAGCAUGCUGUCAAUACCCGAAAUGCUUAAGCAUUAAACGUGCUUAUUGCCAUGAAUGGCAUGCCAUCUGAAAUGAAGAAGUGAAAAUCAAAAUCUAUCAGCUGCUUGCUUGUGGUUGUAUAUUGCCUGUCCAGUUCCAGUUUCUUUUGAGUGUUGACUGUAAGCUAGCGAUGAGAGAGGGAGAUUUCCUUUUCAAUUAUCCUUUUCAUUGGAAAUAUGUCACAAUACUGAGUGAUGUUGGUGGAAACUUCCAGUUUGCGUAGAAUUAAGCGACACGUCAUUAGUACAGCUGGAUGGUUUAAA
Non-coding RNA from Pimephales promelas (fathead minnow), 1320 nucleotides. Lineage: Eukaryota; Metazoa; Chordata; Actinopteri; Cypriniformes; Leuciscidae. The record is from RefSeq and is a predicted model, not a curated record.